GUGGGGAAUAUUGGACAAUGGGCGAAAGCCUGAUCCAGCAAUGCCGCGUGAGUGAUGAAGGCCUUAGGGUUGUAAAGCUCUUUUACCCGGGAUGAUAAUGACAGUACCGGGAGAAUAAGCUCCGGAUAACUCCGUGCCAGCAGCCGCGGUAAUACGGAGGGAGCUAGCGUUGUUCGGAAUUACUGGGCGUAAAGCGCACGUAGGCGGCUUUGUAAGUUAGAGGUGAAAGCCUGGAGCUUAACUCCAGAACUGCCUUUAAGACGGCAUCGCUUGAAUCCAGGUGAGGGGAGUGGAAUUCCGAGUGUAGAGGUGAAAUUCGUAGAUAUUCGGAAGAACACCAGGGGCGAAGGCGGCUCACUGGACUGGUAUUGACGCUGAGGUGCGAAAGCGUGGGGAGCAAACAGGAUUAGAUACCCGAGUAGUCC
This 425-nucleotide ribosomal RNA is filed under the name uncultured bacterium. RNAcentral's name for it is "partial 16S ribosomal RNA". It matches the Rfam family "Bacterial small subunit ribosomal RNA", at positions 354 to 796 of the family's 1533-position model. The record is from RNAcentral.